AACGAACGCUGGCGGCAUGCCUAACACAUGCAAGUCGAACGAGAUCUUCGGGUCUAGUGGCGCACGGGUGCGUAACGCGUGGGAAUCUGCCCUUUGGUUCGGAAUAACAGUUGGAAACGACUGCUAAUACCGGAUGAUGACGAAAGUCAAAGAUUUAUCGCCAGAGGAUGAGCCCGCGUAGGAUUAGCUAGUUGGUGUGGUAAAGGCGUACUAAGGCGACGAUCCUUAGCUGGUCUGAGAGGAUGAUCAGCCACACUGGACUGAGACACGGCCCAGACUCCUACGGGAGGCAGCAGUGGGGAAUAUUGGACAAUGGGCGAAAGCCUGAUCCAGCAAUGCCGCGUGAGUGAUGAAGGCCUUAGGGUUGUAAAGCUCUUUUACCCGGGAUGAUAUGACAGUACCGGGAGAAUAAGCUCCGGCUAACUCCGUGCCAGCCGCCGCGGUAA
RNAcentral lists this ribosomal RNA (446 nucleotides) under uncultured bacterium. RNAcentral's name for it is "partial 16S ribosomal RNA". It matches the Rfam family "Bacterial small subunit ribosomal RNA", at positions 29 to 523 of the family's 1533-position model. The record is from RNAcentral.